GCUGGGCAGGUGGCACAUGGUUGUAGUCCCAGCUAUUUGGGAGGCAGAGGUGGGAAGAUAGUUUGGGUCCAGGAGUUCUGGGUUAUGGAACACUAUACUGAUCAGGUGUUGGCACUAAGUUCGGCAUCAAUGUGGUGACCUCCUGUGAGCAAGUAAGCGAAGGAUCACCAGGUUGCCCACGUAACAGUGAACUGGUCCAGUCGGAAACAGAGCAGAUCAAAACUACCAUGCUGGUCAGUAAUGGGAUCUUGCCUGUGAACAGUCACUACACUCCAGUCUGGACAAACAUAGUAAGACUCCAUUGCU
Molecule: signal recognition particle RNA, 306 nt
Filed under: Carlito syrichta (Philippine tarsier)
Lineage: Eukaryota; Metazoa; Chordata; Mammalia; Primates; Tarsiidae
Description: Metazoan signal recognition particle RNA (ENSTSYG00000027879.1)
Rfam family: Metazoan signal recognition particle RNA
About the family: The signal recognition particle (SRP) is a universally conserved ribonucleoprotein. It is involved in the co-translational targeting of proteins to membranes.
Source: RNAcentral